UGCAAGUCGUACGCACUGGCCCAACUGAUUGAUGGUGCUUGCACCUGAUUGACGAUGGAUCACCAGUGAGUGGCGGACGGGUGAGUAACACGUAGGUAACCUGCCCCGGAGCGGGGGAUAACAUUUGGAAACAGAUGCUAAUACCGCAUAACAACAAAAGCCACAUGGCUUUUGUUUGAAAGAUGGCUUUGGCUAUCACUCUGGGAUGGACCUGCGGUGCAUUAGCUAGUUGGUAAGGUAACGGCUUACCAAGGCGAUGAUGCAUAGCCGAGUUGAGAGACUGAUCGGCCACAAUGGAACUGAGACACGGUCCAUACUCCUACGGGAGGCAGCAGUAGGGAAUCUUCCACAAUGGGCGCAAGCCUGAUGGAGCAACACCGCGUGAGUGAAGAAGGGUUUCGGCUCGUAAAGCUCUGUUGUUGGAGAAGAACGUGCGUGAGAGUAACUGUUCACGCAGUGACGGUAUCCAACCAGAAAGUCACGGCUAACUACGUGCCAGCAGCCGCGGUAAUACGUAGGUGGCAAGCGUUAUCCGGAUUUAUUGGGCGUAAAGCGAGCGCAGGCGGUUGCUUAGGUCUGAUGUGAAAGCCUUCGGCUUAACCGAAGAAGUGCAUCGGAAACCGGGCGACUUGAGUGCAGAAGAGGACAGUGGAACUCCAUGUGUAGCGGUGGAAUGCGUAGAUAUAUGGAAGAACACCAGUGGCGAAGGCGGCUGUCUGGUCUGCAACUGACGCUGAGGCUCGAAAGCAUGGGUAGCGAACAGGAUUAGAUACCCUGGUAGUCCAUGCCGUAAACGAUGAGUGCUAGGUGUUGGAGGGUUUCCGCCCUUCAGUGCCGGAGCUAACGCAUUAAGCACUCCGCCUGGGGAGUACGACCGCAAGGUUGAAACUCAAAGGAAUUGACGGGGGCCCGCACAAGCGGUGGAGCAUGUGGUUUAAUUCCAAGUUACGCGAAGAACCUUACCAGGUCUUGACAUCUUGCGCUAACCUUAGAGAUAAGGCGUUCCCUUCGGGGACGCAAUGACAGGUGGUGCAUGGUCGUCGUCAGCUCGUGUCGUGAGAUGUUGGGUUAAGUCCCGCAACGAGCGCAACCCUUGUUACUAGUUGCCAGCAUUAAGUUGGGCACUCUAGUGAGACUGCCGGUGACAAACCGGAGGAAGGUGGGGACGACGUCAGAUCAUCAUGCCCCUUAUGACCUGGGCUACACACGUGCUACAAUGGACGGUACAACGAGUCGCAAGCUCGCGAGAGUAAGCUAAUCUCUUAAAGCCGUUCUCAGUUCGGACUGUAGGCUGCAACUCGCCUACACGAAGUCGGAAUCGCUAGUAAUCGCGGAUCAGCAUGCCGCGGUGAAUACGUUCCCGGGCCUUGUACACACCGCCCGUCACACCAUGGGAGUUUGUAACGCCCAAAGUCGGUGGCCUAACCUUUAUGGAGGGAGCCGCCUAAGG
Molecule: ribosomal RNA, 1450 nt
Filed under: Limosilactobacillus reuteri
Lineage: Bacteria; Bacillati; Bacillota; Bacilli; Lactobacillales; Lactobacillaceae
Description: bacterial SSU rRNA
Rfam family: Bacterial small subunit ribosomal RNA
Source: RNAcentral